UAUCUCAAGACUGAUUUUUCUAAGGUUUUAUGGACUGAUGAAAUGAGAGUGAGUCUUGAUGGGCCAGAUGGAUGGGCCCGUGGCUGGAUUGGUAAAGGGCAGAGAGCUCCAGUCCGACUCAGACGCCAGCAAGGUGGAGGUGGAGUACUGGUUUGGGCUGGUAUCAUCAAAGAUGAGCUUGUGGGGCCUUUUCGGGUUGAGGAUGGAGUCAAGCUCAACUCCAAGUCCUACUGCCAGUUCCUGGAAGACACCUUCUUCAAGC
RNAcentral lists this long non-coding RNA (262 nucleotides) under Pelobates cultripes (western spadefoot toad). The record is from RNAcentral. Lineage: Eukaryota; Metazoa; Chordata; Amphibia; Anura; Pelobatidae.